UACGUAGGGGGCAAGCGUUGUCCGGAAUUAUUGGGCGUAAAGAGCGCGUAGGCGGUCUGAUAAGUCGGUUGUGAAAGUCGGGGGCUCAACCCUCGGAUGCCGAUCGAUACUGUCAGGCUAGAGUCCGGAAGAGGCGAGUGGAAUUCCUGGUGUAGCGGUGAAAUGCGCAGAUAUCAGGAGGAACACCAAUGGCGAAGGCAGCUCGCUGGGACGGUACUGACGCUGAGGCGCGAAAGCGUGGGGAGCGAACAGG
RNAcentral lists this ribosomal RNA (253 nucleotides) under uncultured bacterium. Its description in RNAcentral is "partial 16S ribosomal RNA". It matches the Rfam family "Bacterial small subunit ribosomal RNA", at positions 524 to 776 of the family's 1533-position model. The record is from RNAcentral.